This 595-nucleotide ribosomal RNA is filed under the name uncultured bacterium. RNAcentral's name for it is "bacterial SSU rRNA". It matches the Rfam family "Bacterial small subunit ribosomal RNA", at positions 332 to 919 of the family's 1533-position model. The record is from RNAcentral.
YGAGAUUCUACGGGAGGCAGCAGUGGGGAAUAUUGCGCAAUGGAGGAAACUCUGACGCAGCAACGCCGCGUGUGUGAAGAAGGCCCUCGGGUCGUAAAGCACUAUAAAGUGAAAAGAGACGGUAGUGGUUAAUACCCGCUACCCCGACGGUAUCACUAGACAAAGCACCGGCUAACUCCGUGCCAGCAGCCGCGGUAAUACGGAGGGUGCAAGCGUUGUUCGGAAUUAUUGGGCGUAAAGGGCGCGUAGGCGGGUUUCUAAGUCUGAUGUGAAAUCCCUCGGCUUAACCGAGGACGUGCAUUGGAUACUGGAAACCUUGAGUCCUGGAGAGGAAAGCGGAAUUCCAAGUGUAGAGGUGAAAUUCGUAGAUAUUUGGAGGAACACCAGUGGCGAAGGCGGCUUUCUGGACAGUGACUGACGCUGAGGCGCGAAAGCGUGGGUAGCAAACAGGAUUAGAUACCCUGGUAGUCCACGCCGUAAACGAUGGGUACUAGUUGGUGCGGGUGUUGACUCCUGCGCUGACGGAGCUAACGCGUUAAGUACCCCACCUGGGGAGUACGGCCGCAAGGCUAAAACUCAAAGGAAUUGACGGAAU